CAAGCGUGCUGGAUCAGCUGCAAGGGAGGAAAAGAUGUCACAGAGAGGAAGAAAACUUGGUUCUCUGUGUGUGCCGAAGGCUCAGCAGAGCACAGCAGCUCAGACAAUGGUGAGGUCAGAAACAGCUCCAGUGCUAAUGAUGGCUAAACUUCCUGGAACUGUGGAACUUCUCUUGGCAGAGGUAUUCAGCCCUAAGAAGGUGUCCAGAAGAGCCUGGGGAGAUGAGGGAAGAAGGCCCAGCAGCUGGAAGGCACCUGGGAAGGAAAUGCCAAGAUGUCUGGACCCCCCUCUACCUUUGGGGGUACUUCCAGUAGAUUCAGACAGCCUG
Long non-coding RNA from Pyrgilauda ruficollis (rufous-necked snowfinch), 328 nucleotides. RefSeq lists it as uncharacterized. The record is from RefSeq and is a predicted model, not a curated record. The transcript is spliced from 3 exons. Lineage: Eukaryota; Metazoa; Chordata; Aves; Passeriformes; Passeridae.